Molecule: long non-coding RNA, 410 nt
Filed under: Ursus americanus (American black bear)
Lineage: Eukaryota; Metazoa; Chordata; Mammalia; Carnivora; Ursidae
Description: lncRNA (ENSUAMG00000019425.1)
Rfam family: mir-1247 microRNA precursor family (bases 1-61)
Source: RNAcentral
GUCCCGUGCGUCCCCGGACGUUGCUCUCUGCCCCGGGAACGUCGAGACUGGAGCGCCCGAGCUGAGCCACCUUCGCCGACCCCGAGCGCCGCAGCUCCACUCACCGCGGAGGCGCCCGGACGCGUAAACCUGGUGAUUGCUGUCGGAGCAGGGAUGUUGGGGCUGCACAGCACAGGAACUCGACACCUGGAGGAAAGCCAGCCUGGUCCCAGCUCUUCUCAGCCUCCAGGCACUGCCCCUCACCACUCUGGGUAGGGGUCUGUUCAGGAUUCCAGAACAUUGGACAAGGUGCUCAGGCCCAUCUGGCUUCCACAGCAGCUUGUGCAGGUGAGGACAGAUCCAAGGUCCAGGCCUUUGGAAGCCAGGCCCAGGCUUGGCAACUUUUACUCCAUCCCUCUCUUCUCCCUCUC